UUUCUACAUAAUUAUUGAUCAACCUUGAACCAUAGUUUCUCAAAAAGUCAUAUAAAUGGGAGAGGAUUGAGGUAGAAGUAUGUGAUAUAUAAUUUAUUAUCUAAAUUUGGACACUUUUGUCUGGAAAGAAAAAGAAGAAAAGUAAAGAAAAACUGCCAGGAUGCUGGGACAAGAGGUGCACCACAUCCUGCUGGGGAAAGCAAACCAGAACAUCAGGUCAUCCUGGGUAGACACAACCUGAGCCAGUGAGCAACACUGCCCCCAUUCCAGCUGAUUUCUAGUGUAAUUUUCCAUCAUCUGCCUUUUUAAAUGUAGAAAGUCUUGAUUCAGGCUUGACUGGAAGUAUUAAAUGUCUACCUCACUUUUGAUAGGAAGAAGAUGAUUUUUCACCUAGUGGAGUCAUUGAACAGUGGUCUUCAAAUUGGGAUUAUUUCCAAGAAUAGAUUAAAAUGCCAUGAAAAAGAAAAAAUUAUAGAAAAGCAAAAAGAGCUGAAUGCAGUGAAUGAACAUCUGUGAAUGAAGUUGAGAAGGUAUAUGUGGGGCAGACUAGAAUUGCAGUGCACAGAUACAAGAAUGUUGCCUGCUUUGGAGCCAAGACUGCCUUCCGGAUAAAGGGCCCACAGAGAGCUGAGAGCUGUGUAAUACCUCAAAGACUGAAGAAAAGAGUUAGACAGCCAUCUUUCCUUAGAGGAUUUUGCUGCAGACAGCUUGAACUACCAGAAGGUUAUAUACUGACCAUGGGUAGAGUAAGGAAGAAAUACAUCCUUCGGAAAGGACAAUGAAGAUCUUUACAGCAGGGAGGUGAGGACAAAGUGAUUCUCCCUUCUGGAGGAUGCAGCAAAGUGCUGCCUGCCAUCUUGGAAGCACAGAGUAGCCUUCACCACACUCUAAUCCCAUCAGAGCCUUGAUCUUGGACUUGCCAGCCUUCAGAACAGUCUUGCCUCAUCACUGCCAUGACAGGGGGGUCCAAUGUGAGGAUUCUGGUGUCUAUGCCAAGCAUCUCUUUUCCAACGUAGAUCUGAUUUCUUAACAUAGCCAACAGCAAGUCAACAUCAGCUUUGCAGAGAAAAGCAGCACCAACAGGUCUGCCAAAUCCAGAAGAAGAUGAUGAAGCUUCCCACCCAAGAGGUGCAGAGAGAUUUCCUGAAAGAAGCAGUUAAUAAAUGGAUCCCACGCAGCUUUGAAAAACUCAUUAAAAGGUCAUAAAAAGAUUUGCCAAUUUAUUUAUACUCUCAAUGAUGUCUUCACUAGAAAAUUCAAAGUUUGAACUGGGAAAACUUGAAGGUAGUAGUUCUUGAAAAGCUUAUGGAUAUGAACUGCCAGUCCAAGAAUCUGUUUAAAAUUCAGAUGUUUAAUAGUGACAAACAAAAAUCCUGUAUGUGAAGAAAAAAAAACAUCAUGAUAUUGCUUUCUAUAUAAUUUUUUUCUGUUGUAUUGUAAGAAAGAUACAUCCCUUUUCCUAUAGAUAAGACUUCUGAGUGUUUUUCUGUUUGGCAAUAUUAGCAAUCUAUUUUCUGCCUCAGAAAACCUAUUUAUAGACCUCCUAUUAUCAGGCAUUGUACUGAAUUAUUCUUUGUGUCCAAAGUUUUUCAAUUUAUUUCCUUGGUAUUUUAGUGCAUAUACACAUUGUAUAAAAUAAUGGCCUUUUAGUCUUCUUCCACUGUAGCUCUCUUAUUUCUGUUUUAUUCUAAAUUCAUGAAACAUAACUUUCAAAAGGAAUCUUACAAAUAGUGAUAAUAACAGACAUCUUCCUCAAGUUGAUAAUUUUAAUACAUAUUGAUAUUCCAUCAUUCAUUAUAAUGUAUUUUGUUUAAAGUGUAUUUACUUUGAAAAUAAAACAUCUUUUGUUAAUUUUCCUUAUAACAUUUUUGAAUACCAAUUUGUGUUCUAGCAUAUCCAAUCAAGUUGGUCACACUGUAUGAGAAUGAAAUGUAUUUAUUUAACUUACUUAUAUUAUAAAUUGUUUAAGUAGUCUGCUUAUAUUGAUUGUCUUUAUACUUCUUUUUGAAAAUUAGUAUACUGAUCAUUGUUAACUCAUGCUUCUAUUUCCAUGCUAAUUAUUUAUAGGAUUCAUAUCUAUUUUUUCAUAUUAUGAUUUAUGUAGCUUCUUAUCUCUUAUGACCUGAACAGUUUAUAAAAUGCCAAUUAAUUCAUUUCUGUGAGAAAAUAAAAUAAUUCCGUAAAAAUUAAUAAACAUUUUUAUAAGUUUCUCAAUGUUAUUGUCAGUUAUUGAUUCACUGACUUCUCUGUGUAGUAUAUAAAAUCACAUAUUUAUUUAGAAAAUCAUCCAUUUCAUUGAUGUUUUCAACUUUAGCAAAUUAAUCAUGAAAGCAAUUUUGC
This 2340-nucleotide long non-coding RNA is filed under the name Homo sapiens (human). Its description in RNAcentral is "HSALNT0337446". Lineage: Eukaryota; Metazoa; Chordata; Mammalia; Primates; Hominidae. The record is from RNAcentral.